RNAcentral lists this ribosomal RNA (711 nucleotides) under Bacillus cereus. RNAcentral describes it as "bacterial SSU rRNA". It matches the Rfam family "Bacterial small subunit ribosomal RNA", at positions 56 to 748 of the family's 1533-position model. The record is from RNAcentral. Lineage: Bacteria; Bacillati; Bacillota; Bacilli; Caryophanales; Bacillaceae.
UGCAGUCGAGCGAAUGGAUUAAGAGCUUGCUCUUAUGAAGUUAGCGGCGGACGGGUGAGUAACACGUGGGUAACCUGCCCAUAAGACUGGGAUAACUCCGGGAAACCGGGGCUAAUACCGGAUAACAUUUUGAACCGCAUGGUUCGAAAUUGAAAGGCGGCUUCGGCUGUCACUUAUGGAUGGACCCGCGUCGCAUUAGCUAGUUGGUGAGGUAACGGCUCACCAAGGCAACGAUGCGUAGCCGACCUGAGAGGGUGAUCGGCCACACUGGGACUGAGACACGGCCCAGACUCCUACGGGAGGCAGCAGUAGGGAAUCUUCCGCAAUGGACGAAAGUCUGACGGAGCAACGCCGCGUGAGUGAUGAAGGCUUUCGGGUCGUAAAACUCUGUUGUUAGGGAAGAACAAGUGCUAGUUGAAUAAGCUGGCACCUUGACGGUACCUAACCAGAAAGCCACGGCUAACUACGUGCCAGCAGCCGCGGUAAUACGUAGGUGGCAAGCGUUAUCCGGAAUUAUUGGGCGUAAAGCGCGCGCAGGUGGUUUCUUAAGUCUGAUGUGAAAGCCCACGGCUCAACCGUGGAGGGUCAUUGGAAACUGGGAGACUUGAGUGCAGAAGAGGAAAGUGGAAUUCCAUGUGUAGCGGUGAAAUGCGUAGAGAUAUGGAGGAACACCAGUGGCGAAGGCGACUUUCUGGUCUGUAACUGACACUG